ACUUAAAGUGCUGAGACUGAUGUGAACCUUCUAUCUGUACACCCAUUCUACCUGCCAUUACACCCCACGUGCACUCUGCAGUAGAGGUUGGAUGGGUAGAGCUCGACUGUAAGCUGGCGGUGGUCCAUGGACCAUAACUGACGAAUCCUCCCUGGUCUCCUCCGAUCUUGCUGUAGAUCUUGACAAUGUCUCCUUCUCUGAGUGACAGCUCCCUCAUGUCCCGUGCUGCAAAAUUGUACCUGGCCACCGCUGUGCUGACCACCCUCGGUGUGAACACUGCAACAAUGACAUCAGAGUCAGUGAGAUAACAGUGCAGAGAGAGCAGACACAUUGGUGUUCCACAGGUAACUUACAGAUCCUACAGUGCAGAACAUUUAC
Molecule: non-coding RNA, 378 nt
Organism: Salmo salar (Atlantic salmon)
Lineage: Eukaryota; Metazoa; Chordata; Actinopteri; Salmoniformes; Salmonidae
Source: RefSeq, a predicted model, not a curated record